GUGGGGAAUAUUGGGCAAUGGGGGAAACCCUGACCCAGCAACGCCGCGUGAGGGAAGAAGGUUUUCGGAUUGUAAACCUCUGUCCUUGGUGACGAAGGAAGUGACGGUAACCAAGGAGGAAGCCCCGGCUAACUACGUGCCAGCAGCCGCGGUAAUACGUAGGGGGCAAGCGUUGUCCGGAAUGAUUGGGCGUAAAGGGCGCGUAGGCGGCCUGGUAAGUCUGGAGUGAAAGUCCUGCUUUUAAGGUGGGAAUUGCUUUGGAUACUGUCGGGCUUGAGUGCAGGAGAGGUAAGUGGAAUUCCCGGUGUAGCGGUGAAAUGCGUAGAGAUCGGGAGGAACACCAGUGGCGAAGGCGACUUACUGGACUGUAACUGACGCUGAGGCGCGAAAGUGUGGGGAGCAAACAGGAUUAGAAACCCCGGUAGUCC
Molecule: ribosomal RNA, 428 nt
Filed under: uncultured bacterium
Lineage: Bacteria
Description: partial 16S ribosomal RNA
Rfam family: Bacterial small subunit ribosomal RNA
Source: RNAcentral